This 400-nucleotide unclassified non-coding RNA is filed under the name soil metagenome. Its description in RNAcentral is "partial contains 5.8S ribosomal RNA, internal transcribed spacer 2, and large subunit ribosomal RNA". The stretch from base 1 to 121 matches the Rfam family "5.8S ribosomal RNA", at positions 35 to 154 of the family's 154-position model. The record is from RNAcentral.
GAUGAAGAACGCAGCGAAAUGCGAUAAGUAAUGUGAAUUGCAGAAUUCAGUGAAUCAUCGAAUCUUUGAACGCACCUUGCGCCCCUUGGUUAUUCCAAAGGGCAUGCCUGUUUGAGUAUCAUGAACACCUCAACUCUUGUGGUUUCCCACAAUGAGCUUGGACUGUGGAGGUUUUGUUGGCCCUGUGGUCAGCUCCUCUCAAAUGGAUCAGCUUACCGGUGUUUGGUGGCAUUACGGGUGUGAUAACUAUCUACGCUCGUGUCGUCUCCAAAUAACCUCCAGUGAUGGAGGUUCGCUGGAGCUUAUAAAUGUCUCUCCCCAGUGAAGACAGCCUUUGAACGUUCGAUCUCAAAUCAGGUAGGACUACCCGCUGAACUUAAGCAUAUCAAUAAGCGGAGGA